Brassica oleracea var. oleracea is the source of this 301-nucleotide long non-coding RNA. RefSeq lists it as uncharacterized. The transcript is spliced from 2 exons. NCBI's taxonomy places the organism in Eukaryota, Viridiplantae, Streptophyta, Magnoliopsida, Brassicales, Brassicaceae. The record is from RefSeq and is a predicted model, not a curated record.
UCUCAUCAUCGUUGUUUCUUCUCUCGACUCUCACCAUCUCAACCAGAGACGAGAUCCCAAUCGCCAAGCAUACCAUUUUGUAAACAGAGCAACGAGUGUUUGAAGAGACUCAAGAGUCAAGAGACUUGGAGAACAACAAGUGUUGGCUGACUUGAGAGUUUGAGUAAAGUUCUAUUUAUUAAAGUAGCUACAAAGUUGUGCCCAAGAGUUAUAUUUAUACUUUGCAUUUACAUUACAUGAAUGUUAACUUUGGUUUUUAAUUUCAGUGAAAGACAAAAAUGAAUAAAAGACACAUUUUGCA